AACGCAAAUUGCACUUUCUGGUAUUCCGGAAAGUAUGCCUGUUUGAGGGUCAGUUAAAUAAAAAUCGGUGUUGUUGCUACCCGUAGUGGUGUGGUUAAUGCAUCGGAAUUGAGUUGUCUUUACCUUUUUUGGUUAAGUGACUUAAAAUUAUGUACGAUUUUUGAACGUAUUUAAAUUAUUUAUGUAUGUUCAUAAUAAUCAAAUAUUAGGUGCGGUCAUUCUCAUGAUUACGCGUCUAUAAAUUUUCAUUAUUUGACCUCAAAUCAGGUAAGAAUACCCGCUGAACUUAA
RNAcentral lists this unclassified non-coding RNA (290 nucleotides) under uncultured fungus. Its description in RNAcentral is "partial contains 5.8S ribosomal RNA, internal transcribed spacer 2, and large subunit ribosomal RNA". The stretch from base 1 to 52 matches the Rfam family "5.8S ribosomal RNA", at positions 103 to 154 of the family's 154-position model. The record is from RNAcentral. Lineage: Eukaryota; Fungi. RNAcentral also lists the same sequence under 1 other name.